UAAUCUCCGACGUGGUGUACGGUCAUGUCUGCUGUUUUUUCUUUGUGAGGAGACAGUCAUGAAGCCCAGCCCACACCCAGGAGGAGGGAAGGUGCGAGUCCAGCCCUGUCCUUAUGACCAGACAUUCAUCCCCCACCUGCCUGCUCCAACCCUGGGAUUCUGGAACAGAACAUUUUAACAUAAAAGAACUGAAGUGGAUCUAUGGAAGGCAGCAUAUAUGUGGAUCUUAUUUUUGUACCCAUUCAGCCAGUCUACAUCUUUUGGUUGGGUCCUCUAAGAAAGAAGAAGAAGGAAACAGUGCACAUUUGUCCCUGGUACCGCCAUGUCCUGCUGCUCCACAAAACUGGUGGUCUUCUUCCUUACUUGGAUCGGGCAGCUGAGCCAGGGGAACAAGGAAUUCCAGAGAUGACAUGAACACACUUGGCAUUUGGUGAUUGGCUGGCGUCCUCCUCUGAUCUCUGAGAAGAGCUGUAAAAUCCUUCACCUUUGUUAGACCUGAAACCACAUCCAUACCCCAAGCUUUAACUGUGACAAUGCCAGAUCCUUAAUCCACCGUGGCGAGCCAGGGAUCGAACCUGUGUCCCAACAAACCUGCAUCCCAGUAUUCCCAAGACACUGCUGAUCUUGUUGUGCUACAGUGGGAACUCCUGAAGAGGCUAUUUAGAUAAAGGAUCUGGAGAGGGAAGAUCAUCCUGGAUUAUGUGAAUGGGCUCUGUUUAAUCACAUGAAUCUUUAAAAGUGGAAGAGCAGAAGGCAGAAGGGUGUGUUAGAAUGAUGCUCUGUGAGAAGGACCUGCUGCCACGGGCUUUGAAGGCGGAGGCAGGGGACCAUGAGCCAAGAAACACGGCCACCUCCACAAGCGGUGCAUGGCCCUCAGCUUACAGUUGGUAAGAACUCAAGGACUGUGGUCCUAUGCCUGAAAGGGACUGAAUUCUUCCAAUAACUAGAAUGAGCAGAAAGCAUUCUUCCUCAGAGCCUCCAGGAAGGAACACAGCCUACAACUUGAUUUUAGUCUGCUGAGAACCGUGCUGAAUUCCUGACCUCCAAAUCUGCAAAAUAAUAAGUUUUUUUGUCUUAAGCCACUAAGUUUGUAAUAAUUUGCUGUGGCAACAGUAGAAAACUAACACCCUGAGAUAGAGAUAAAAUUUGUUAAUAUCAUAUAGCCAAUAAGACUAUACCUUUUGACUUUUUUUCUCCCCAGAUAGAUGUCUACACGGUGCAUUUAACUUUGUAAAUGUAUGAUUUCUUAACUAAGAGUAAACAGCCAAGUCAAACACAAGUGUAUUACUCUAGAUAAUUAAACAAUUUUUGAGUGCAUAUGUUAAACCAUGUCCCAGUGGACAUUGAAAACACAUCCUACAUUUUUGCCUUAUUUCCAAGUUUAAUUGUUUUGUUUUUCUUUGCAGGUGAAACGGGAAAUAUCAUUUCAUUUUAUAAACAAUAAGCUCCAUAAGGGCAUCACCUUAUUUCUCUUGGCUGAUGUCAUCUUAUCACAAUACUUGACACAUAGCAGGUGCUAAAUGAAUGUUUGUUGAAUGGGUAAAGAAAUGCUUGCAACCUCAUCACUAAUUAUUUCCUCCUAUGAAAUCUGUGAUUCACCCACACUGAAUUCCUUCAGUUCUUUUAAUAUAAACCAACCAUGUUCUCUCUCACCAUGAGAUUUGUGCAUUUGCUUUUCUUUCUGCCUGGCACCUACACCCCCACUCAGCUUGGCUAACAAGCAGUCAUAUGUUAGGUCUUAGCUUAGACGUGACCCCCUCUGGGAAGUAGUGUCUUGUCACCUCAUCUUCCCACCUGUGACUCUUUCUGCUCUUAGAGCUUCUGUAUUUAAUGCCAUAGCCCUUAAUACAUUGUAUCUGUCUUGUAUGAGCCCCCAUGGAUGGUCUAAUGCAUCGAACUUUAAUAAUUUAGCAUCAGCUCCAGAGUCAGACUGCAUUGAUACACAUCCUGUCUCCACAACUGACUAGUUGUAUUAUUUUAGGUAAGUUAGAUCUUUUUGUGACUCAAUUUUCUCAUCUGUAAAAUGGGGAUAAUAUUAAUAUCUCCACUGCAUACACCGUGGUGAGAAUUAAAUGUUAAGGGCUUAGAAGAGAGCCUGGUGUAUGGCUAGUACAUGGGAAGCCAUUGUUUUUUAAAUUCCUUGAAAUCAGGAGCACAAACUGUUCACUAUUGUCCUCUGUUUCUGAUGCAGAAUGCUUGAUACUGAGCAAGUGCUCAAGAUCCUUUGGUGACUUGAAUAGAAUUGUGACCCAGUGAGAAGCAUCCUUUUAUCAGACCUGAACUGGAGAUAAAAGAGCAAUGUCUUGAGUGAGAUGAGCUACCCAGAGAGGCUCAACACUAAAGCUAGGAGAGUGCUUCUCCCUAAAAUGUCUGGAAGGCAAAGUGCUGGCCAUGUUGCUCCCUGGAGAAGGCUAUGGAGUCGAGCCUUCUGAUAUAUAAGCGUCAUCACAUCUCAGAUGCAUCAGCCUAGUCCCAAAACAGACAUGGGUUUUAGUAAUGGCAGACCUUCCAUCCCUACCUCCCCCCACCCCACCCACACGCCCCUUCCUCCACCCCAUCCCUGUUCUCCCUGGAUCAGGAAAUUCUCCGCCAGCUUUGAGUCCCAUUACAUUGACCCCAGGGGAUCAGCCCUUGCCGUUUGUUCUGUCUUUUAAAUUUUAUUGGGGUAGAAUUGAUUUACAAUGUUGUAUUAGCUUCAGGCUUAUAGCAAAGUGAAGCGGUUCUGCAUAUACAUACAUCCAUGCUUUCUUCCCAUAUAGGUUAUUACAGAGCGAUGGAUCAGCCUUUGAAUUUCCCUGCAAGGAAUGUCCUGCUGCACGGAGCGCUGUCUGCUCUUUUGUCAUCUUUGCUGCCUCCCUCCCAACCUUCCUUCCUUGAAAAGGCCCACCUUGGCUUCCAUUUCCAAAGAAUCUUGAAGCAGCUUGCCGGGCCACACUGAAGUUAUUCACAUUUCUGGGUGACGGCUCUUCUGCUGACCUCCUUGGCCAUGAUCCAGUGCAGCAGAUGUGACGCUGAGCACAUCACAAAGCAUCAUGUAAGACAGACCCCAGAACUGCUUGCCCUUUGUUCCUACCCCUUGGCAAAAGGCAAUGUUAACUGCUUGCUUUUGAGCAUGGCUGUAUCUCAGGCAAUCAUUUUUCUUCUUUUUUUUUAAUGUUUCUUUUUUUAUUAAUCAAUUAAUUUAUUACAUUUAUAGUUAUACAAUGAUUAUCACAAUCCAAUUUUAUAGGAUUUCCAUCCCACAACCCCAGCACAUCCACCCACCCCCCAAACUGCCUCCUUUGGAGACCAUAGUUUUUCAAAGUCUGUGAGUCAGUAUCUGUCCUGCAAAGAAGUUCAUUCUGUCCUUUUUUAAGAUUCCAAAUCAGUGGGAGAAUUUGAUAUUGGUGUCUCAUUGACUUACUUCGCUUAGCAUGAUAAUUUCUAAGUCCAUCCAUGUUGCUACAAAUGCCGUUAUUUCGUUCCUUUUAAUGGCUGAGUAAUAUUCCAUUGUGUAUAUGUACCACAUCUUCUUGAUCCACUCCUCUGUCGAUGGACAUUUAGGUUGUUUCUGCAUCUUGACUAUUGAAAAUAGUGCUACAAUGAACAUUGGAGUACAUAUGUCUUUGGGAGUCAUGCUUUUCUCUGGAUAGAUGCCCAGCAGUGGGAUUGCUAGACCAAAUGGUAAUUCUAUUUUUACAUUUCUGAGAAUCUCCACACUGUUUUCCACAGUGGUUGCACCAAUUUACAAUCCCACCAACAGUGUACUAGGGUUCCUUUUUCUCCACACCCUCUCCAGCACUUAUUGUUUGUAGACUUUUUGAUGGUGGCCAUUCUGGCUGGUGUAAGGUGGUACCUCAUAGUGGUUUUGAUUUGCAUUUCUCUAAUCAUGAGUGAUGUUGAACGUCUUUUCAUGUGUUUUUGGCCAUCUGUAUGUCUUCUUUGGAGAAUUGUCUGUU
This 3938-nucleotide long non-coding RNA is filed under the name Sus scrofa (pig). Its description in RNAcentral is "lncRNA (ENSSSCG00050005604.1)". Lineage: Eukaryota; Metazoa; Chordata; Mammalia; Artiodactyla; Suidae. The record is from RNAcentral.